Molecule: long non-coding RNA, 420 nt
Organism: Oncorhynchus tshawytscha (Chinook salmon)
Lineage: Eukaryota; Metazoa; Chordata; Actinopteri; Salmoniformes; Salmonidae
Source: Ensembl
GAAAAAUCUAACAUAUGAAAGCUAUAGUGAAAAAUGCCUAAAAUCUUGUCAUUGUUCCUGUCCAGGAUGUCCUAGGUCAGCUCUGAUGACUAUUCUGGGCCUGCUCCAGCCUGUGUGUUGGGGUGAUCUGACCUGGUCCAUAACCAUGUGUGUUCAGGUGAUCUGGCCUGGUCCAUAACAAUAUUUGUUCAGGUGAUCUGGCCUGGUCCAUAACCAUACAUGUUGAGAUGGUCCGGCGUGUUGAGGUGGUCCGGCCUGGUCCAUAAACAUUCGUGUUGAGGUGGUCCGGCCUGGUCCAUAAUCAUGCGUGUUGAGGUGGUCCGGCCUGGUCCAUAAACAUUCGUGUUGAGGUGGUCCGGCCUGGUCCAUAAUCAUGCGUGUUGAGGUGGUCCGGCCUGGUCCAUAAUCAUGCGUGUUGAG